ACGUAGGACGCAAGCGUUAUCCGGAAUUACUGGGCGUAAAGGGCGUGUAGGCGGCACGGUAAGUCAACCGUGAAAGCUCCCGGCUAAACUGGGAGAGGUCGGAUGAGACUGCCGAGCUAGAGAAUCGUAGAAAAAUAUGGAAUUCCGAGUGUAGUGGUGAAAUGCGUAGAGAUCCGGAGGAACACCAGAGGCGAAGGCGGCACCCUGGACGACACCAGACGCUGAGACGCGACAGCACGGGGAGCGAACGG
Molecule: ribosomal RNA, 251 nt
Filed under: uncultured prokaryote
Description: partial 16S ribosomal RNA
Rfam family: Bacterial small subunit ribosomal RNA
Source: RNAcentral